GCCCGCCUAGCUCAAUCGGAUAGAGCGUCAGACUCUUAGGCGGGUUGGACCUUUGUGAUCUGAAGGCUGCGAGUUCGACCCUCGCGGUGGGCU
Termitomyces sp. Mi166#008 is the source of this 93-nucleotide non-coding RNA. The record is from the annotation of a GenBank genome assembly. Lineage: Eukaryota; Fungi; Basidiomycota; Agaricomycetes; Agaricales; Lyophyllaceae.